CCUACGGGGUGCUGCAGUAGGGAAUCUUGCGCAAUGGGCGAAAGCCUGACGCAGCAACGCCGCGUGAACGAGACGCCCUUCGGGGUGUAAAGUUCUGUCAGUGGGGACGAAAAAUGACGGUACCCACAGAGGAAGCACCGGCUAAGUCCGUGCAAGCAGCAGAGGUAAGACGGAGGGUGCAAGCGUUGUCCGGAACCAUUGGGCGUAAGGAGUGCGUAGGUGGCAGGUAAAGUCAGGUGUUAAAGGCGCAGGCUCAACCUGUGUAUGGCACUUGAUACUUGCAAGCGGGAAUGCGGUAGAGGUAAAGGGAAUUCCUGGUGUAGCGGUGAAAUGCUUAGAUAUCAGGAGGAACAUCGGUGGCGUAAGCGCUUUACUGGGCCGUAACUGACGCUGAGGAACGAAAGCCAGGGUAGCAAAUGGGAUUAGAUACCCCAGUAGUC
RNAcentral lists this ribosomal RNA (440 nucleotides) under uncultured bacterium. Its description in RNAcentral is "partial 16S ribosomal RNA". It matches the Rfam family "Bacterial small subunit ribosomal RNA", at positions 338 to 795 of the family's 1533-position model. The record is from RNAcentral.